CGAGCGCACCCACAUCUUUAGUUGCCAUCAGGUUAAGCUGGGCACUCUAGAGAAACUGCCCGUGAUAAGCGGGAGGAAGGUGUGGAUGACGUCAAGUCCUCAUGGCCCUUACGGGUUGGGCUACACACGUGCUACAAUGGCAUCUACAAUGGGUUAAUCCCNAAAAGAUGUCUCAGUUCGGAUUGGGGUCUGCAACUCGACCCCAUGAAGUCGGAAUCGCUAGUAAUCGCGUAACAGCAUGACGCGGUGAAUACGUUCCCGGGCCUUGCACACACCGCCCGU
Molecule: ribosomal RNA, 282 nt
Filed under: uncultured bacterium
Lineage: Bacteria
Description: partial small subunit ribosomal RNA
Rfam family: Bacterial small subunit ribosomal RNA
Source: RNAcentral